Molecule: non-coding RNA, 24 nt
Filed under: Rattus norvegicus (Norway rat)
Lineage: Eukaryota; Metazoa; Chordata; Mammalia; Rodentia; Muridae
Source: RNAcentral
UGAAUUUCUCUAGAUAAAGUGCGG